RNAcentral lists this ribosomal RNA (377 nucleotides) under uncultured bacterium. RNAcentral's name for it is "bacterial SSU rRNA". It matches the Rfam family "Bacterial small subunit ribosomal RNA", at positions 521 to 896 of the family's 1533-position model. The record is from RNAcentral.
UAAUACAGAGGUCUCAAGCGUUGUUCGGAUUCAUUGGGCGUAAAGGGUGCGUAGGUGGCGCUGUAAGUCGGGUGUGAAAUUUCGAGGCUUAACCUCGAAACUGCAUUCGAUACUGCGGUGCUUGAGGACUGGAGAGGAGACUGGAAUUCAUGGUGUAGCAGUGAAAUGCGUAGAGAUCAUGAGGAAGACCAGUGGCGAAGGCGGGUCUCUGGACAGUUCCUGACACUGAGGCACGAAGGCCAGGGGAGCAAACGGGAUUAGAUACCCCGGUAGUCCUGGCAGUAAACGGUGCACGUUUGGUGUGGGAGGAUUCGACCCCUUCCGCGCCGGAGCUAACGCGUUAAACGUGCCGCCUGGGGAGUACGGUCGCAAGAUUA